GACGAACGCUGGCGGCGUGCCUAAUACAUGCAAGUCGAGCGAAGUUUUUCUGGUGCUUGCGCCGGAAAAACUUAGCGGCGAACGGGUGAGUAACACGUAAAGAACCUGCCUCAUAGACUGGGACAACUAUUGGAAACGAUAGCUAAUACCGGAUAACAGCAUUAACUGCAUGGUUGAUGUUUGAAAGUUGGUUUUGCUAACACUAUGAGAUGGCUUUGCGGUGCAUUAGCUAGUUGGUGGGGUAAAGGCCUGCCAAGGCGACGAUGCAUAGCCGACCUGAGAGGGUGAUCGGCCACACUGGGACUGAGACACGGCCCAGACUCCUACGGGAGGCAGCAGUAGGGAAUCUUCCGCAAUGGGCGAAAGCCUGACGGAGCAACGCCGCGUGAGUGAAGAAGGAUUUCGGUUCGUAAAGCUCUGUUGUUAGGGAAGAAUGACUCGUGUAGUAACUAU
Molecule: ribosomal RNA, 453 nt
Filed under: Gemella haemolysans
Lineage: Bacteria; Bacillati; Bacillota; Bacilli; Caryophanales; Gemellaceae
Description: bacterial SSU rRNA
Rfam family: Bacterial small subunit ribosomal RNA
Source: RNAcentral